CCUACGGGAGGCAGCAGUGGGGAAUAUUGCACAAUGGACGAAAGUCUGAUGCAGCAACGCCGCGUGGAGGAUGACACAUUUCGGUGCGUAAACUCCUUUUAUAUGAGAAGAUAAUGACGGUAUCAUAUGAAUAAGCGCCGGCUAACUCCGUGCCAGCAGCCGCGGUA
RNAcentral lists this ribosomal RNA (167 nucleotides) under uncultured bacterium. RNAcentral's name for it is "partial 16S ribosomal RNA". It matches the Rfam family "Bacterial small subunit ribosomal RNA", at positions 338 to 522 of the family's 1533-position model. The record is from RNAcentral.